Molecule: long non-coding RNA, 728 nt
Organism: Lemur catta (Ring-tailed lemur)
Lineage: Eukaryota; Metazoa; Chordata; Mammalia; Primates; Lemuridae
Exons: 6
Source: RefSeq, a predicted model, not a curated record
GGGCAUUUAAGGCUGUUCCAGUGGCAGUGGGGCUGGCUCAACAUAUCCGUAUAUGUGAUCAUUUAACACAUAGGUGUUAAGUUCAUUCUUGCUGCAAGAGAAGGCCAUUGUACUUCCUGACCCUGAAAGCAAGAUGCAGUAACUGAGACAUCAAAGGUUAAUUGCUUGCCCAAAGCCAUGUAGUAACUUGGACCGUGUCUCUUUAAAUCUACUGAGGAAGAUAUUCCUUCUGGCCCACAGGAUGCCAAAAUGACUCGAUGAUUUAUUUAUGCAGCGCUUGGCAGCCUAUAGUCCAGAUUGUGGCUGAAGCUGAAUUUUAUGAGCCUUCCCUCAGAAGUAUUCUAGGCCCAGGGGAUUGUGGUGGAAAAGACAAAUACUGACCCUUCUGUCCUGGAACAGACAUUUCACAGGAGGGAGAUGGAUGAUAAACAGGAUCUGCAGCUGGGAGAGAGUGUCCAGCUAACAGCCCGUGUCUCAGGCCUUGCCAGGGGAUGAAUCAAUUAGCAAGAGAAGCAAUGAUGCAAAUGCUCCGGGGUCACUUGGGAUGCUGUUUGCCUUUUUGAUAGAGAAAGCACACCAUAAAUAACAUCACACCUCAGGAAAUCAUUCCGGGAGGCCCAGAUGCCGGCAGGGUUGCUGCCGCGUACGGAAGGAACCAUUUGCUCAUUGUGUAUAUUUCCCCCAUCUCAGUCAAUGGAAGAUUUGUAGUAAAAUCAAAGUAUUUAAAA